Molecule: long non-coding RNA, 1186 nt
Filed under: Lathyrus oleraceus (garden pea)
Lineage: Eukaryota; Viridiplantae; Streptophyta; Magnoliopsida; Fabales; Fabaceae
Description: Pisum sativum (pea) long non-coding RNA (PSAT_LNC030499)
Source: RNAcentral
UGUGAAACAUGGCAUAUAUACAUGAUAUUACAUCAUUCAUACUAUUACACGACUCUACACUAAGUAAUCAAAGUAGGACUUCACAUGACAAUUAGUCAUGCAUAAGACAUUUAAGUAUGUUAUCACAUCACCAAUCAAACAAACUAUGGUUCAUGAAUUCCAAACUUUCUACUAGAAUUAAUACAUACAAGCAUCAGUUUACUUCACCAUGUGGUAGAGCAUUGAACUAGAUUUCCAAUGAAUCUGACCAAGCCCCAAACGAAGUUAUGAAACUCAUUUUAUGGCGGUUACAAGGUGCGCAAUCAAUUGUUGUUUUGGUGCAAUCGAAUGUAGGGUCUAUUUUACACAAAAAUCACGCACAAACAUGGUAUCAAUUGAUUUUCCCCAUAAAGCAAUAAAUUUUAGGGUCUAGUUUCUCCAAACUCUGUUAAAGGAUCAAUCGAUUGACUCAAAUGAGCAAUUGAUUGUAGUUACAUUUGGGAAAACACAAGUUAGAUAAAUUGGAAGGUGUCAAUCAAUUUUCUUAGGGGAGCAAUCAAUUUCUCCAGAUAAGUUUUCCAAAUAUUCAUCCCCAUAACACAUAUCUUCAAGCAUGCAAUCGAUUUCCUUGAACAUCAUCUAACAUAAUCAAAUGAAUCACAACAUAUUCAACCAACACAUGUGUGUCACAGAUUCAACAAAUUUCAAGCACUUCAAGCAUUUGAUCAAAUAGAAACAUGAAACUUAACCUAAAUCCUAUAUACAUUUCUAUAUCCAAUCCCUAAAAGCUAAACUAAGCUAUGAACCAGACCUUUGAACAAAACCUAGAUUUUUGCUUUGAAGAAGAAUGAUGAUUAUGAUGAUGAGCGCUUUCAUAAGCUAAAUUUCCUCCAAAAAUUUCCAAUUCACGAACAUGCAAAAUAACGUGGCUUGAUGAAGACUCCCUCUCUUUCUCUUUUCACGCUUCUCUUUCCUCCUCUAAGCAAAGAUUCUGAUUUUCAUAGUUAAAAUAGAGAGAGUGAAAUGGUGCGAAUGAGAUUUUUUCUCACAAAUUUGGCUUUUGUACAUUCUUAUAGAACUGCCCAUUUUGUCCUUGCAUAGUAUCCAAUUUCUCUAAUGUACGCCCUUCACUUAAUCCUUCUACUAAUCAAGUUAUAAUCUUGUUAGACAUGUCACUAAUUCCAAUUAUUAUUAACCUAGAAGCACC